GACGAACGCUGGCGGCGUGCUUAACACAUGCAAGUCGAACGGAAAGGCCCUGCUUUUGUGGGGUGCUCGAGUGGCGAACGGGUGAGUAACACGUGAGUAACCUGCCCUUGACUUUGGGAUAACUUCAGGAAACUGGGGCUAAUACCGGAUAGGAGCUCCUGCUGCAUGGUGGGGGUUGGAAAGUUUCGGCGGUUGGGGAUGGACUCGCGGCUUAUCAGCUUGUUGGUGGGGUAGUGGCUUACCAAGGCUUUGACGGGUAGCCGGCCUGAGAGGGUGACCGGCCAAAUUGGGACGGGGAAAGGGCCCAGACCCCUACGGGGGGCAGCGGGGGGGAAUUUGGCACAAGGGGGGGAAGCCUGAUGCAGAAACGCCGCGUGCGGGAUGACGGCCUUCGGGUUGUAAACCGCUUUCGCCUGGGACGAAGGGGGGGUGACGGUAAUGGGGAAAGAAGCACCGGCUAACUACGU
This 467-nucleotide ribosomal RNA is filed under the name uncultured bacterium. RNAcentral's name for it is "partial 16S ribosomal RNA". It matches the Rfam family "Bacterial small subunit ribosomal RNA", at positions 28 to 506 of the family's 1533-position model. The record is from RNAcentral.